GGGCCCGCACAAGCGGUGGAGCAUGUGGUUUAAUUCGAUGAUACGCGAGGAACCUUACCAGGGCUUAAAUGCAGAACGACAGAGGUGGAAACACCUCCUUCUUCGGACGGUCUGCAAGGUGCUGCAUGGUUGUCGUCAGCUCGUGCUGUGAAGUGUCGGGUUAAGUCCCAUAACGAGCGCAACCCCUAUUUCUAGUUGCCAGCGGUUCGGCCGGGGACUCUAGAGAAACUGCCAGCGUAAGCUGUGAGGAAGGUGGGGAUGACGUCAAAUCAUCACGGCCCUUACGUCCUGGGCUACACACGUGCUACAAUGGUAGGGACAGAGAGUUGCCAACCCGUGAGGGUGAGCUAAUCUUCAAACCCUAUCUCAGUUCGGAUUGUACUCUGCAACUCGAGUACAUGAAGGUGGAAUCGCUAGUAA
This 420-nucleotide ribosomal RNA is filed under the name uncultured bacterium. Its description in RNAcentral is "bacterial SSU rRNA". It matches the Rfam family "Bacterial small subunit ribosomal RNA", at positions 917 to 1341 of the family's 1533-position model. The record is from RNAcentral.